CAGUAAAUAAAAAAUUGUUCUUAAAAUUUCAUGCACAAUAUUGUAACUGACUUUACCUCACUGAAGUUAACUUGAAGGGGAAAACAAAUGUACAAAAGUGGUUUCAAUCCUGCUCACAGGCAGACAUCAUAGGCUGUUAACGGCCCACUGCAUGUCUGCAGCUGGGAUCUUUUCUGUAUUGUAUUUCACAAGGUUCAGCUCUAUGUACAGUUUUCUUUAUCUAGCCUAGGCAGCCAGAGUCACUAUCAAAACAGCAGAUAACCUCUCCCUGUUUUUCACCCCCAAGUCUCACUUUGCUGCCACUGAGAAGGCCUAAAGCUUGGAUAAUUCAGCUCACAGAAAAACAAUUAAUUUGAUAUUAAAGUCAGAUAAGGGUGAGGAAAGACCUCUGCAAUAGUUCUAUUUUCACUAAUUAAAAUUCAUAUUUCAUAAAAUUGACAGCUCAUUGUUUUGUGAGCUUGAAUUUGUUGCAAAUUUUCAUGUAGGAUGAUGAGUAAAACUUUGUAAUUUACCCACCUGGUUGUGAAAAUUUCCUUAUCUACAUGACUGGAAAUAAUUCUGAAUUCCAGGUUUUCAUUUCUCGUGGGUUUUUCAUCUGUGAAGGGUUUGUGUCCACAUACUUUCAUUUAACACACAUCACUUCAAUGCAUCUCUUUGGCAGCAUCAGUAUGAACUGCUGCAAGGUAAUUUAAUCAGGUUUGAUUUUUGUUUUCUUAGAGUAUGUCAGAGCAAAGGUGAGUGCUGUAUUAUCUUCAUGCUGCUCCACUGCAUUGCCUUUGAUGUGACUUCCCUCAACAUAGAAGAAGUGGCAGUCCUCUUCAGAGAAGGAUAAAUCUAGUGUGAGUUGCAUGGCACUGCAAGGCUUCAGGUGCAAAUGCCAUUGUCACUGAGUACUAGAGCCCCUGUCUGAAGAACCAGUUGUCGUGUUUCUGGAUCCUUCAUCACAUACGCAGUAAGACCAACAGCGCUUGAGCCUCUGCCAGAUGUAUACUGACCCCGAGGAACCAGGUUAUGCACAUACUGGAGCAGCUGUGAUUUGCUGGUACCAGGAUCACCACAGAGAAGAAUGUUGAUCUCUGCACGAAAGUUGCCUCUUCCUGUUAGACGCCAUUUCAGAUACUGCCUCUUCCUCACCUACAUUCUCAGAAUACUGAACCAUCAAGGUCAGACAAUUCCCUCCAGUAUGUUCAUGUCUCCCUUGGAGAGAGGAGUCCAGAACUGGACUGCAUACUCCAGAUGUGGCCUCACCAGUGCUGAACACAGGGGAAGGAUCACCUCCCUCAACCUGUUGGCAACGCUUCCCUUAAGACAGCCCAGGAAGCUGCUGGCACCAGUCAUCUGGUCUGUCAAGCUCCGAUUCCUUCCAGUUUUGCUUUUGUCUGCAAGUUUACUGAGGGUGCACUCUGUCCCAUCAUUACAUCCACAUCAUUACUGAAGUUAUCCAACAGAGUCUGACCCCAGUAUUGACCCCUGUGGUAUACCUGUGGUGACCAACCUCCAGCUGGACUU
Molecule: long non-coding RNA, 1509 nt
Organism: Pezoporus flaviventris
Lineage: Eukaryota; Metazoa; Chordata; Aves; Psittaciformes; Psittacidae
Exons: 3
Source: RefSeq, a predicted model, not a curated record